RNAcentral lists this ribosomal RNA (733 nucleotides) under uncultured bacterium. RNAcentral describes it as "bacterial SSU rRNA". It matches the Rfam family "Bacterial small subunit ribosomal RNA", at positions 28 to 774 of the family's 1533-position model. The record is from RNAcentral.
AACGAACGCUGGUGGCGUGUCUUAUACAUGCAAGUCGAGCGAGGCAGCAAUGCCUAGCGGCGAACGGGUGAGUAACGCGUAAGCAAUCUGCCCCAUAUCAGGAAAUACCCGUGCCAACGCGCGGUUAAUGUCCAGGAGCGUGGCCUUCCGCAUGGGAGGUUGACAAGAGAUUUAUCGGUAUGGGAUGAGCUUGCGUCCGAUUAGCUAGUUGGCGGGGCAACGGCCCACCAAGGCGACGAUCGGUAGCCGGCCUGAGAGGGUGAUCGGCCACAUUGGGACUGAGAUACGGCCCAGACUCCUACGGGAGGCAGCAGUAGGGAAUAUUGCACAAUGGGGGAAACCCUGAUGCAGCAACGCCACGUGUGGGAAGAAGCAUUUCGGUGUGUAAACCACUGUCGUGAGGGAAUAAGGCAUUGUUUCGGCGAUGUUGAAUGUACCUCGAGAGGAAGCACCGGCAAACUUCGUGCCAGCAGCCGCGGUAAUACGAGGGGUGCAAGCGUUGUUCGGAAUCACUGGGCGUAAAGGGAGCGUAGGCGGAGAUGCAAGCGGACUGUACAAUACCGGGGCCCAACCCCGGACCUGCAGUUCGGACUGCACCUCUUGGAUAGUUCAGGGGCAGGCGGAAUUCCUGGUGUAGCGGUGGAAUGCGUAGAGAUCAGGAAGAACACCGAUGGCGAAGGCAGCCUGCUGGGGACUUAUCGACGCUGAGGCUCGAAAGUGCGGGUAGCAAACA